UUUGAUCCUGGCUCAGGACGAACGCUGGCGGCGUGCCUAAUACAUGCAAGUCGAACGAACUCUGGUAUUGAUUGGUGCUUGCAUCAUGAUUUACAUUUGAGUGAGUGGCGAACUGGUGAGUAACACGUGGGAAACCUGCCCAGAAGCGGGGGAUAACACCUGGAAACAGAUGCUAAUACCGCAUAACAACUUGGACCGCAUGGUCCGAGUUUGAAAGAUGGCUUCGGCUAUCACUUUUGGAUGGUCCCGCGGCGUAUUAGCUAGAUGGUGGGGUAACGGCUCACCAUGGCAAUGAUACGUAGCCGACCUGAGAGGGUAAUCGGCCACAUUGGGACUGAGACACGGCCCAAACUCCUACGGGAGGCAGCAGUAGGGAAUCUUCCACAAUGGACGAAAGUCUGAUGGAGCAACGCCGCGUGAGUGAAGAAGGGUUUCGGCUCGUAAAACUCUGUUGUUAAAGAAGAACAUAUCUGAGAGUAACUGUUCAGGUAUUGACGGUAUUUAACCAGAAAGCCACGGCUAACUACGUGCCAGCAGCCGCGGUAAUACGUAGGUGGCAAGCGUUGUCCGGAUUUAUUGGGCGUAAAGCGAGCGCAGGCGGUUUUUUAAGUCUGAUGUGAAAGCCUUCGGCUCAACCGAAGAAGUGCAUCGGAAACUGGGAAACUUGAGUGCAGAAGAGGACAGUGGAACUCCAUGUGUAGCGGUGAAAUGCGUAGAUAUAUGGAAGAACACCAGUGGCGAAGGCGGCUGUCUGGUCUGUAACUGACGCUGAGGCUCGAAAGUAUGGGUAGCAAACAGGAUUAGAUACCCUGGUAGUCCAUACCGUAAACGAUGAAUGCUAAGUGUUGGAGGGUUUCCGCCCUUCAGUGCUGCAGCUAACGCAUUAAGCAUUCCGCCUGGGGAGUACGGCCGCAAGGCUGAAACUCAAAGGAAUUGACGGGGGCCCGCACAAGCGGUGGAGCAUGUGGUUUAAUUCGAAGCUACGCGAAGAACCUUACCAGGUCUUGACAUACUAUGCAAAUCUAAGAGAUUAGACGUUCCCUUCGGGGACAUGGAUACAGGUGGUGCAUGGUUGUCGUCAGCUCGUGUCGUGAGAUGUUGGGUUAAGUCCCGCAACGAGCGCAACCCUUAUUAUCAGUUGCCAGCAUUAAGUUGGGCACUCUGGUGAGACUGCCGGUGACAAACCGGAGGAAGGUGGGGAUGACGUCAAAUCAUCAUGCCCCUUAUGACCUGGGCUACACACGUGCUACAAUGGAUGGUACAACGAGUUGCGAACUCGCGAGAGUAAGCUAAUCUCUUAAAGCCAUUCUCAGUUCGGAUUGUAGGCUGCAACUCGCCUACAUGAAGUCGGAAUCGCUAGUAAUCGCGGAUCAGCAUGCCGCGGUGAAUACGUUCCCGGGCCUUGUACACACCGCCCGUCACACCAUGAGAGUUUGUAACACCCAAAGUCGGUGGGGUAACCUUUUAGGAACCAGCCGCCUAA
Molecule: ribosomal RNA, 1483 nt
Filed under: Lactiplantibacillus plantarum
Lineage: Bacteria; Bacillati; Bacillota; Bacilli; Lactobacillales; Lactobacillaceae
Description: partial 16S ribosomal RNA
Rfam family: Bacterial small subunit ribosomal RNA
Source: RNAcentral